GACGAACGCUGGCGGCGUGCUUAACACAUGCCAGUCGAGCGGAAAGGCCCUUCGGGGUCCUCGAGCGGCGAACGGGUGAGUAACACGUGAGUAACCUGCCCCAGACUUUGGGAUAACCCUCGGAAACGGGGGCUAAUACCGGAUACGACACAGCUUCGCAUGGGGUCUGUGUGGAAAGUUUUUCGGUUUGGGAUGGGCUCGCGGCCUAUCAGCUUGUUGGUGGGGUGAUGGCCUACCAAGGCGACGACGGGUAGCCGGCCUGAGAGGGCGACCGGCCACACUGGGACUGAGACACGGCCCAGACUCCUACGGGAGGCAGCAGUGGGGAAUAUUGCACAAUGGGCGGAAGCCUGAUGCAGCGACGCCGCGUGAGGGAUGACGGCCUUCGGGUUGUAAACCUCUUUCAGCAGGGACGAAGCGUAAGUGACGAUACCUGCAGAAGAAGCGCCGGCCAACUACGUG
RNAcentral lists this ribosomal RNA (462 nucleotides) under uncultured bacterium. RNAcentral describes it as "partial 16S ribosomal RNA". It matches the Rfam family "Bacterial small subunit ribosomal RNA", at positions 28 to 507 of the family's 1533-position model. The record is from RNAcentral.